GGGCAGGUAGCUCAGCAGGUAGAGCAACGGACUGAAAAUCCGUGUGUCGGCGGUUCGAAUCCGCCCCUGCCCA
RNAcentral lists this transfer RNA (73 nucleotides) under Sedimentisphaerales bacterium. RNAcentral describes it as "tRNA-Phe". It matches the Rfam family "tRNA". Rfam says of the family: Transfer RNA (tRNA) molecules are approximately 80 nucleotides in length. Their secondary structure includes four short double-helical elements and three loops (D, anti-codon, and T loops). Further hydrogen bonds mediate the characteristic L-shaped molecular structure. tRNAs have two regions of fundamental functional importance: the anti-codon, which is responsible for specific mRNA codon recognition, and the 3' end, to which the tRNAs corresponding amino acid is attached (by aminoacyl-tRNA synthetases). tRNAs cope with the degeneracy of the genetic code in two manners: having more than one tRNA (with a specific anti-codon) for a particular amino acid; and 'wobble' base-pairing, i.e. permitting non-standard base-pairing at the 3rd anti-codon position. The record is from RNAcentral. Lineage: Bacteria; Pseudomonadati; Planctomycetota; Phycisphaerae; Sedimentisphaerales.